GGGGAUAUACCAAGUGGUAGAGCACAUGCUUAGUAUGCAUGAGGUCCUGAGUUCAAUCCCCAGUACCUCCA
RNAcentral lists this transfer RNA (71 nucleotides) under Camelus bactrianus (Bactrian camel). It matches the Rfam family "tRNA". From Rfam's summary of the family: Transfer RNA (tRNA) molecules are approximately 80 nucleotides in length. Their secondary structure includes four short double-helical elements and three loops (D, anti-codon, and T loops). The record is from Rfam by way of RNAcentral. RNAcentral also lists the same sequence under 2 other names. Lineage: Eukaryota; Metazoa; Chordata; Mammalia; Artiodactyla; Camelidae.